Molecule: ribosomal RNA, 231 nt
Filed under: Mycobacterium tuberculosis
Lineage: Bacteria; Bacillati; Actinomycetota; Actinomycetes; Mycobacteriales; Mycobacteriaceae
Description: partial 23S ribosomal RNA
Rfam family: Bacterial large subunit ribosomal RNA
Source: RNAcentral
CAAUCGUAGAGGGUGAUAAUCCCGUACUCGAAAGGUUAUAAGAAGCAUAUUAAGUAGGGCGGAACACGAGAAAUUCUGUCUGAAGAUGGGGGGACCAUCCUCCAAGGCUAAAUACUCCUGACUGACCGAUAGUGAACCAGUACCGUGAGGGAAAGGCGAAAAGAACCCCUGUGAGGGGAGUGAAAUAGAUCCUGAAACCGCAUGCAUACAAGCAGUGGGAGCCGACUUGUU